RNAcentral lists this ribosomal RNA (527 nucleotides) under uncultured bacterium. Its description in RNAcentral is "bacterial SSU rRNA". It matches the Rfam family "Bacterial small subunit ribosomal RNA", at positions 64 to 639 of the family's 1533-position model. The record is from RNAcentral.
GAACGCACCUUCGGGUGAGUGGCAGACGGGUGAGUAACGCGUGGGAACCUUCCCUGUGGUACGGAAUAACUUCGGGAAACCGAAGCUAAUACCGUAUAUCUCCUCCGGGAGAAAGAUUUACCGCCAUAGGAUGGGCCCGCGUUGGAUUAGCUAGUUGGUAGGGUAAUGGCCUACCAAGGCGACGAUCCAUAGCUGGUCUGAGAGGAUGAUCAGCCACACUGGGACUGAGACACGGCCCAGACUCCUACGGGAGGCAGCAGUGGGGAAUAUUGGACAAUGGGCGCAAGCCUGAUCCAGCCAUGCCGCGUGAGUGAAGAAGGCCUUAGGGUUGUAAAGCUCUUUUGGCGGGGACGAUAAUGACGGUACCCGCAGAAUAAGCCCCGGCUAACUUCGUGCCAGCAGCCGCGGUAAUACGAAGGGGGCUAGCGUNGUUCGGAAUCACUGGGCGUAAAGCGCACGCAGGCGGAUUGAUAAGUCAGGGGUGAAAUCCCGGGGCUCAACCUCGGAAUGGCCUUUGAUACUGUCUG